RNAcentral lists this ribosomal RNA (495 nucleotides) under uncultured bacterium. RNAcentral's name for it is "partial 16S ribosomal RNA". It matches the Rfam family "Bacterial small subunit ribosomal RNA", at positions 28 to 507 of the family's 1533-position model. The record is from RNAcentral.
GACGAACGCUGGCGGCGUGCCUAAUACAUGCAAGUAGAACGCUGAAGGAGGAGCUUGCUUCUCUGGAUGAGUUGCGAACGGGUGAGUAACGCGUAGGUAACCUGCCUGGUAGCGGGGGAUAACUAUUGGAAACGAUAGCUAAUACCGCAUAAGAGUAGAUGUCGCAUGACAUUUGCUUAAAAGGUUCAAUUGCAUCACUACCAGAUGGACCUGCGUUGUAUUAGCUAGUUGGUGAGGUAACGGCUCACCAAGGCAACGGUGCAUAGCCGAACUGAGAUGGGGAUCGGCCGCACUGGGACUGAGACACGGCCCAGACUCCUACGGGAGGCAGCGGUAGGGAAUCUUCGGGAAUGGACGGGAGUCUGACCGAGAAACGCCGCGGGAGUGAAGAAGAUAUUCGGGUCGUGAAGCACGGUUGUAAGAGAAGAACGAGAGUGAGAGUGGAAAGUACACAGUGUGACGGUAACUGAUCAAAAAGGGACGGCUAACUACGUG